This 21-nucleotide non-coding RNA is filed under the name Arabidopsis thaliana (thale cress). Lineage: Eukaryota; Viridiplantae; Streptophyta; Magnoliopsida; Brassicales; Brassicaceae. The record is from RNAcentral.
UCAAAUUCUGAUGAUUUUCUA